Molecule: long non-coding RNA, 1018 nt
Organism: Harpia harpyja (harpy eagle)
Lineage: Eukaryota; Metazoa; Chordata; Aves; Accipitriformes; Accipitridae
Exons: 2
Source: RefSeq, a predicted model, not a curated record
GCAAGCAGGAAUGGCUUCCCAUGCAGCCACAACUGCAGUGACACAACCAAGGGUGUGGGACCUGCAGCUGCAGGAGAGGAAAGGCAGGACCAUGCAGCAAGGCCUUAGAUCAGUUUACAACAAUUGCAUAAGCAAUCAUUAGGGAGCAUAACCACAGGGCUUUAAGCCAGGAAUACAUUAUGCCAAAAAUUAUGAAAGUAUUUGAACACCUUCCUGCUCAGUAUUCUGCAAACUAUACGUUUCUUGGUCUCUCCCCAGGAGAAAUGCCUGUGUACCACAGCAUCUUCUUCCAUGGACCCUUUCCUGUGCAUGCACAUUUGUGCUUUUUUUUUUUUUUUUUUUUAAACUCUUCAACUUGAAUUAGACAAGACAAGAUCAAAGAAAUUCACAGACCUGGUCAGCUCCCUGCCAUGAUGUCAACUGCCCUUUUUUAAAAGAAGGUGCAUUCCUGUGGACUAAUGUACAUGUGAUUGCAUAGUGUGGCCACUGGAUGUUGUCACUGCUCCUUAAUUUAUAAGAAUGCCACAAUCUCUGAAUUACUGUCCCCUGGAGAAACAAGGUACUCCCAAAAUACAAGGCAGCUCCAACAUCAGCUACAGCUGUUGACAGAGCACAUAAAACCACCACGAGUACUAGAACAUCUGAAUAAUGACAACAGGGAACAAAGCAAAUAUAACAUCUUACAGAAAAUGUAAAGCAUCCAUGAUGCUUUAAAUAACCAAGGAAGCCUGGACUCCAGUUAUUGCUCCAAUGAUUUACAAAAACAUCAAUAAAAGCACAAUGGGAGGCGCUAAAUGCGAUGCUUGUCAUUUAUCCAUUUGACAGUCAUCUGGAAAGUUUCAUUUCACUGAGAGAUCUACAUUUGUAUUUAACAUCAGGCAAAACAUUUCCAAGAUAAGAAAGCACUGACCAUCUUAAGGAGCUUCCUAGGCAGAACAGUCGAGAUGCUCCUUUGACAACGAAUGGGAUUAUGGAGAGAAGCUUCCGUUAGCUGACACAUUUGACAUACUUAAAUGAA